GGUUGCAAAGAGUUGGACAUAACUGAGUGACUGAACUGAACUUAGCCUCAUCAAAGCCCCAACUUACCUAUUUGAAUUUUUGCACUGACUGUAUUAUCUAGACAUCUGGUUGCCCUGUGGCUUCACUUUAUGGUAAAUUAGAUCUGAAAAUGCACUGUGGCCCUUCACAAAAAGCAGAUUUUCUUUAUGUACUGUGAUGUCUGAUGCAACGCAUCCUAGAACAAACUGGCUGCUCGCUAGUCUACUGACUAAACAUUUGUCAGGACCUCCAAUCAGGUUGAGAGGCAGCUGUUUGGACUCUGGUGUGUGCAGCUUUGAACUAGGAUUGGAGUUCAGGUUGCCUCCCUCUGAAAGGUGUAGCAGUUAUUGGAUAACUGGCUUUUUUCUUCCUAUGUCCUCUUUGAAAUGUAACAAUAAAAAUAAUUUUUGAAACAUUUACCAGUGUAUCCCAGCGUUUCUCUCCUCCCUCUUUUGCUGUAUGAUGAACUUGAAAAUAUAAAGACAAAUUAUAUCCUGUUGAAAGAGUUGUUUUAUACAGUCUAAUCAUAAAACAGUGGUACUAAAUUAUCUCUAUGUGCGUGUGUGGUGGGGAGAGAGAGAGAACAUAUGGGUACUUAGAUGGGUCUCUGAAAGUACACAUAUAUUUGGAUAAAUUGAGGGAUUUAAGAUGCAUGAAGGAGUGCCUGUUUUAAAAAAUUCUUGGCAAAAAUUAGUAUUUAGUAUUAGAACUAAAUCACAUUAAUUUCAUAAGGGUGAGAUUUUAGGAGCUAUAAAUGGGGUUUUUGGUUAGUGAAAAACUUUUAAAACUCCCAAAUCAAACCUAAAAUUGUUGAUUUUAUUAUUAAAAGAUGUAAGUUUAACUACAACCAAGUGAAAUUUAUUCCAGUUUUGCAAGACUUUGAACAUUUGAAAAUUAAUGAAAUGCACAUCAACAGACUAAAGAAAAAUGACAUGAUCUUAUCAAUAGAUUCAGAAACAGCAUUUGACAAAAGCCAACACCCAUUCAUGACAAAAACUCUCGGUAAACUAGAAAUAGAGAAGAAGUUAAGGAUGUUCUUUCUAACUACUCAUUUUCAACAUCAUACUGUAAAUCCCAGCUAAUGCAGUAAGACAAAAGAUAUACAGGGAAAGAAAAGAUGAAAGACUAACAUUGUUUAGAGAUGACAUGAUUGUAAACAUGUAGGAGAUCCAAAAGAAUUUUUUAAAAAGCAAAAAAAAUUUCUGAUACUAAUAACUGAGUUGAUUAUAGCAAGGUUUCAGGUUAGAAGGUUAAUUUACAAAAGUCAAUUGCUAUCCUUCCAUUUAGUUCACUUCAGUUGCUCAGUUAUGUCCGACUCUUUGCAACCCCGUGGACUGCAGCACGCCAGGCCUC
This 1372-nucleotide long non-coding RNA is filed under the name Capra hircus (goat). Its description in RNAcentral is "lncRNA (ENSCHIG00010018597.1)". The record is from RNAcentral. Lineage: Eukaryota; Metazoa; Chordata; Mammalia; Artiodactyla; Bovidae.